Synchiropus splendidus (mandarinfish) is the source of this 516-nucleotide long non-coding RNA. RefSeq lists it as uncharacterized. NCBI's taxonomy places the organism in Eukaryota, Metazoa, Chordata, Actinopteri, Syngnathiformes, Callionymidae. The record is from RefSeq and is a predicted model, not a curated record. The transcript is spliced from 3 exons.
AGACAUCUGCUGAGAAAAAAGAUUUCAGUGGAAAAGAGAUCCUUAGAAGAUGCCGUCACAAAAUACAAUGCUGUUGUGCCGGAAACUGGCAAACUCCCUUCUCCCAACGAGCUCCUGGCUGAGGAAAACUAUUCCUGGCCUUGGGAAUGUCAUGGUGAUAUGUUAAAGAAAAAAAGGUAAUGCUGCUGAACCGACUGAAGGAAGAGGAGGUCAUUGUUGUCCGUGAAGUCAAGCAGCACUGGGAGUACAUGAGGAAUAUGGCUGGAAAUAUUGAAGAGAUUUCCUCCCAGCUUUCAGAAGGGAUCACUCAGCAAAGCGGCACAGAAGCAUUGACUGGGAGAGGACGUGAGGGGCUACUCUGUCUGCUGAAGAGAAGACUGUCAGCAAUUCAAGCUCAGCAGGGUGCAGCUCGCUCAACGUACCAACAUGUUUUUGGAUCGCAAGCCUUGUCUCUCGAUGAUUCCUCCACUGAUGAUGAAGAACCCCAUGAUAGCAGCUCCUCCACCGAAGAUGAAG